Molecule: long non-coding RNA, 337 nt
Filed under: Brassica napus (rape)
Lineage: Eukaryota; Viridiplantae; Streptophyta; Magnoliopsida; Brassicales; Brassicaceae
Description: long non-coding RNA (BNAP_LNC020014)
Source: RNAcentral
GUUAAAGCCUCUUGAGGUAUUGUGGUCACAAUUGUUUGUAUCAAAACAUUUGGCUAAUGAUAAGUUGAUGUUGAGUUAAAAAAAAAAAAUUGAAACGAAUGCACUUUUGUGACCAAUAAAUAAUUCGUAUGUAGUUGGAACAAUAAAAAAUUGGUUACUUUUCUUCAUCUUCUCCAUCAUCACCUUUCUCUUCUCCUCAGCUUAUCACCAUAACCUCCAUAUCUACCGCUUCCUCCACCUCAACCACAACAACCUCCACUUCAGUAUCCACCACCACCUCGACCACGACCUUCACCUCCAUAUCCUCCACCCUCACGUCUUUCACCUCCACUGUAUC